GAUGAACGCUAGCUACAGGCUUAACACAUGCAAGUCGAGGGGCAGCAUGUCGGUUGCUUGCAACCGAUGAUGGCGACCGGCGCACGGGUGAGUAACGCGUAUCCAACCUUCCCCUUAGUAGGGCAUAGCCCGGCGAAAGUCGGAUUAAUACCCUAUGUUGUUCGUCGAGGACAUCUGAAGUGAACCAAAGAUUUAUCGCUAAGGGAUGGGGAUGCGUCUGAUUAGGCAGCAGGCGGGGUAACGGCCCACCUGGCCCACGAUCAGUAGGGGUUCUGAGAGGAAGGUCCCCCACAUUGGAACUGAGACACGGUCCAAACUCC
RNAcentral lists this ribosomal RNA (320 nucleotides) under uncultured Prevotella sp. RNAcentral describes it as "bacterial SSU rRNA". It matches the Rfam family "Bacterial small subunit ribosomal RNA", at positions 28 to 339 of the family's 1533-position model. The record is from RNAcentral. Lineage: Bacteria; Pseudomonadati; Bacteroidota; Bacteroidia; Bacteroidales; Prevotellaceae.